GCAAGUCGAACGAGAAAACCCCUUCGGGGGUAAGUAGAGUGGCGAACGGGUGAGUAACGCGUAAGAAUUUUCCCUUCAGUGAAGAAUACCCUCGAGAAAUCGAGGCUAAUACUGCAUACGUCCCUUCGGGGAGAAAGGCGGCCUCUUGCUGCCGCUGAAGGAUAAGCUUGCGUACUAUUAGCUUGUUGGUGGGGUAAAGGCCUACCAAGGCGAUGAUGGUUAGCCGACCUGAGAGGGUGAUC
This 242-nucleotide ribosomal RNA is filed under the name uncultured bacterium. RNAcentral describes it as "partial 16S ribosomal RNA". It matches the Rfam family "Bacterial small subunit ribosomal RNA", at positions 57 to 305 of the family's 1533-position model. The record is from RNAcentral.